CUGGAAGGAGAGAUGGCUUAAAGGGGUACGCGGGCUUCUUCCGCGAAUCUGCUCCAGGAUGGGACUGCGUCCGAUCAGGCUGUUGGCGGGGUAAUGGCCCACCAAACCUGUAACCGAUACGGGCCUUGAGAGAGGUGGCCCGGAGAUGGACACUGAGAGAAGGGUCCAGGUCCUACGGGGCGCAGCAGGCGCGAAACCUUCGCAAUGCGCGAAAGCGUGACGAGGUUAAUCCGAGUGACUCCCGCUGAGGGGGUCUUUUGUCAGCUGUAAAUAGGCAGGCGAAUAAGGGGAGGGCAAGCCUGGUGUCAGCCGCCGCGGUAAUACCAGCUCCUCGAGUGGUCGGGGCGAUUAUUGGGCCUAAAGCAUCCGUAGCCGGUUCCGUAGGUCCUCUGUUAAAUCCAACCGCUUAACGGUUGACCUGCAGAGGAUACCGCGGGACUAGGAGGCGGGAGAGGCGGACGGUACUCCGCGUGUAGGGGUAAAAUCCUUUGAUCCGCGGAAGACCACCAGUGGCGAAGGCGGUCCGCCAGAACGCGCUCGACGGUGAGGGAUGAAAGCUGGGGGAGCGAACCGGAUUAGAUACCCGGGUAGUCCCAGCCGUAAACGAUGCUAGCUAGAUGAUUCAUUCGCAAGUCGCGAAUGAAGUGUCGCAGGGAAGCCGUUAAGCUAGCCGCCUGGGGAGUACGGUCGCAAGACUGGAACUUAAAGGAAUUGGCGGGGGAGCACCACAAGGGGUGAAGCCUGCGGUUCAAUUGGACUCAACGCCGGU
This 769-nucleotide ribosomal RNA is filed under the name uncultured archaeon. RNAcentral's name for it is "bacterial SSU rRNA". It matches the Rfam family "Archaeal small subunit ribosomal RNA", at positions 170 to 922 of the family's 1478-position model. The record is from RNAcentral.